This 158-nucleotide ribosomal RNA is filed under the name Lasiodiplodia brasiliensis. Its description in RNAcentral is "5.8S ribosomal RNA". It matches the Rfam family "5.8S ribosomal RNA". From Rfam's summary of the family: 5.8S ribosomal RNA (5.8S rRNA) is a component of the large subunit of the eukaryotic ribosome. It is transcribed by RNA polymerase I as part of the 45S precursor that also contains 18S and 28S rRNA. The record is from RNAcentral. Lineage: Eukaryota; Fungi; Ascomycota; Dothideomycetes; Botryosphaeriales; Botryosphaeriaceae.
AAACUUUCAACAACGGAUCUCUUGGUUCUGGCAUCGAUGAAGAACGCAGCGAAAUGCGAUAAGUAAUGUGAAUUGCAGAAUUCAGUGAAUCAUCGAAUCUUUGAACGCACAUUGCGCCCCUUGGUAUUCCGGUUCUCAAGGGGGGCAUGCCUGUUCGA